Dermochelys coriacea (leatherback sea turtle) is the source of this 2692-nucleotide long non-coding RNA. RefSeq lists it as uncharacterized. The record is from RefSeq and is a predicted model, not a curated record. Lineage: Eukaryota; Metazoa; Chordata; Testudines; Dermochelyidae. The transcript has 2 exons.
GGAGAUUUAUAUACAUAGAGAACAUGAAACAAUGGGUGUUACCAUGCACACUGUACAUGUACCAUGCACACUGUAACGAGAGUGAUCACUCAAGGUGAGCUAUUACCACCAGGUAAUGAUUUGGACCAUCUGUUUUAUUUUCUCUGAACAAUUUACUAUGUGCCCCCUCUUAUUUAUCUCCUCAGUUAAGAGUCCUAAUUUUUUCAGUGUCUUGUAUGGAAACUUUUCCAUUUCUCUGUCGUAGUAGAUCAUCUUUGUGUCCCUUCUGUAUCUGCUAAAUUUUUCUGAGAUGGGAUGACCAGAACUAAAAGCAGUAUUCAAGAUGAGGGUAUAACAUCAUUUAAUAUAAUGGCAUGAUAGUAUUCUUGAUAUGAGUAGGUAUUUUAUUGAAAUACCUAGGUCCUUUUUGUGAGUGGUUUCAGUUAAAAUAGAAUGCUGUAAUGUUUAUUAGUUUAAAUUAUUCUGUCCAGUGUGAAGUACUUUGCAUAUUUCCAAAUUGCAAUUGAACUACUAUCAUCACUCCAUUUGCCUUGCUUUGAUAGGUCCAUCUGAGGUUCUUUUUUUGAGUGUCCUAAAUUUUGUCAUUGUGACACUUCAGUUUUCCCUUCAGUUUUGCUUUUGAAAAUGGGAUUUAAGUUCCUAAAUCAUAGGAACUUUUGAAAAUUUUAUCCCAAAUCCAAAGUCGCCCUUUCCUCUUGUGUGCGCCCUAAAACUAGUUGUUCCAAGAAGCAAAUAUUUAUGGAAUCAAGGGAUUACUUCUCUAAAUAGGCUUAUAUGCAGGUGACUGAAGUCCCCUACUGUUGCUUGUGUUUAGAAUACAUUACUGUCUCCAUAGGAGAUUUUUCAUGUAGAAACUGUCAUCUUUAAAGUAAGGCUCAGACUUUUUAAACAUCUGGGUUUUAAAACAGCUUUUUGUAUAAUUACAGUGGUCCGUUUUCUUUUUCCCAUCUGAAGUAACUCUCUUCCUUGCUGGCUAUUCAGAUAUCAGAUUAGGAGUUAAUCACAAUGCUGAUUAUAUAGAGCAAAUGAUUUAUGCAAAACCAAGCAAAAAAGGAUAUAGCAGGAAUGCAGUCUCUUCACUGGAAGAAGAGACUUUGUGAAGUAUCUGCUUUAUCAGAAAAGCAUCUUGACAGCAUCGAUGGUAUCAAGCUGUUUGCUGGCCACAUAAAAUAACUGUGAACAGGCAUUGUCUACUAUAGUUUAGUAAGAACAGACUAAUCUGAGAUCCAUAAAGGAAGUUUAAAAUCAGAGUAUCUAUCUGAAAUGCAUGUUUUGUUAUUGGAAUGAACAGGUGGCUUUUAACUCUUUUUAAUAAAGUGUUAAUGAAAUCUGUCUAGUUUGCAAACCAAAUUUCUUAUAGACACUCAUCCCUAUUUAAUUUUCAUUUUCCAUACAACCAUUAAUGUCUUUCCUGAAUGGGUAAAAGCAAAAUCAGUCUUUGCACAAUCUUUUGUUAGUUUAAAUUAGCGUUGCAGGAUGUUAAACUGAUCUUGACUAAAAUACUGAUGCUGAUACUCCAGAUGCUGGUGAGUCAGUCACUAUAUACUGAAAUUGAUUUUACAAACCAUGGUGCUGCAUAUAUUGUCUAGCUUCCUUUUCAAGGUGAUGCUGAAAUUUUUUUUCCUUUGCCCAUUAAUUUAUUCUGAUUGGGAGCUGGAUUUUUCUGCUGCAGGAAACAUUGCCCUUAAAUUCUUUAUCCUAUUUUUGGCCCAAUAAUUAUUUUUGUUGUACAUUGCCCCCAUUCCUGGCCAUUGGAUUCAUUGAUUAUUGUGGUGUAAACACAAAAGAAGAAGAUGAGCUGCUUUCUAAAAAUCUACAUUUUAUCAUCUUUAUAAUGUCAUCCUUUUUAUGCGAGACAUAUUUACAAGAAUCAGAGGUGUAUUGUGUCUAUAAAAUUAGAGAGGUUUGUGCAUUUUUCAGUCACAUAUUUACUCCCCACAGCUGAAAUUUUAUUUUCACCAGAGCUGUGAGAGUGCAGAAAGGAAGCUCUUUUAUGUAGCCUGAUGGUGUCCUUGUUAAAUUCAAAGUUAUCACCUGUCAUUUCCAAGUCCUUGGUUAUUUCAUUGUCUCACAUAAUAAUUAGUAUUUUAGUAGUAUUUGCAGUGGACGUUAUUCAGUACUACUAGGACCUGUGAUUUUUUUCCUAAAAUGCUGACAAGUAGAGGGGGACAACUGCUUUGGGAGAGAGCUUCUUAGGACCUUGGCUCCUCUCUAGCCACAUGACUUCAGAUGCAGUUUAUAUACUGCUCCUAGGACAGCUAGAUCUCUCUUCUCUCCCUUUUAUUCAUAUAUUCUGACAGGAAAUACAAUAUAAUGUGUAACAAUUGGGGGUUACUCAAGUACAGCUACUACCACCUAAACACUAAAACUUAAGAAACGCUGGAUUAGUCAAACACACUACACAGCAACAGUCCAGCCACUUAAAGAAUCCCCAGUCUUCAGUGGGCCCCACUCAGUACGCAUACAUCAUGCAACAGAGCAAAAUCUCCACCAAAAUAACUUUGGGGCACGAACUGAUAUCAGCUACGUAGUUUUCAGACCACAGUAACUUAUGCUGGGAGCCAAAGGUGGCCUCAGGAUUUGGGAGAAGCAAAGGUGACUUAAAGCUGUCUUCCCCAUCUUCCCUUGAUACUUCGCUGAGCACAGCUCAGCCGGGUCAACAAAUCUGGUCCUUUAAAUCUAAAAACUGAAC